This 253-nucleotide ribosomal RNA is filed under the name uncultured bacterium. RNAcentral describes it as "partial 16S ribosomal RNA". It matches the Rfam family "Bacterial small subunit ribosomal RNA", at positions 524 to 776 of the family's 1533-position model. The record is from RNAcentral.
UACAGAGGGUGCGAGCGUUAAUCGGAAUUACUGGGCGUAAAGCGUGCGUAGACGGUUAUUUAAGUCAGGUGUGAAAGCCCAGGGCUCAACCUUGGAAUUGCAUUUGAGACUGAAUAGCUAGGGUGCGGAAGAGGGAAGCGGAAUUUCCGGUGUAGCGGUGAAAUGCGUAGAUAUCGGAAGGAACACCAGUGGCGAAAGCGGCUUCCUGGUCCAGCACCGACGUUCAGGCACGAAAGCGUGGGGAGCAAACAGG